RNAcentral lists this small RNA (718 nucleotides) under Pan troglodytes (chimpanzee). RNAcentral's name for it is "retained intron". Lineage: Eukaryota; Metazoa; Chordata; Mammalia; Primates; Hominidae. The record is from RNAcentral.
UGGAUUAAGCAAUGAACGGUAAUUAACAUUGUGGACCCAUUCAAGGCUGUUUUGCCAUCAUUUUUUGGAAUACCUUAAAAAGACUAAACUUUGUGAUAGGCUGUAUAAGAAUGCAAAGGUAAGGAAAUGCAGAUGGGAGUGUAAGUGAAAACAUGCAGUACUGACCUUCCUGAUUGCUCAUUACAGGAGACCAAGACACAUUCCACCCCAGUGGGGGGUCCCAUACCACUCAUGGAUCUGAAUCAGAUGGACACUCACAUGGGAGUCAAGAAGGUGGAGCAAACACAACCUCUGGUCCUAUAAGGACACCCCAAAUUCCAGAAUGGCUGAUCAUCUUGGCAUCCCUCUUGGCCUUGGCUUUGAUUCUUGCAGUUUGCAUUGCAGUCAACAGUCGAAGAAGGUGUGGGCAGAAGAAAAAGCUAGUGAUCAACAGUGGCAAUGGAGCUGUGGAGGACAGAAAGCCAAGUGGACUCAACGGAGAGGCCAGCAAGUCUCAGGAAAUGGUGCAUUUGGUGAACAAGGAGUCGUCAGAAACUCCGGACCAGUUUAUGACAGCUGAUGAGACAAGGAACCUGCAGAAUGUGGACAUGAAGAUUGGGGUGUAACACCUACACCAUUAUCUUGGAAAGAAACAACCGUUGGAAACAUAACCAUUACAGGGAGCUGGGACACUUAACAGAUGCAAUGUGCUACUGAUUGUUUCAUUGCGAAUCUUUUU